Molecule: long non-coding RNA, 700 nt
Organism: Symsagittifera roscoffensis
Lineage: Eukaryota; Metazoa; Xenacoelomorpha; Acoela; Convolutidae
Exons: 4
Source: RefSeq, a predicted model, not a curated record
GCCAAAAGGCAUAUUUUUAUCUUCAAAAUCACACAAAUUUGGCGAUUAUUGUAAUCAAUCAAACAAAACUUGAUCACGUUAUAAUCUUUCUCGUCUAACUAGUGAAAUCGUAUUUUAAUUUAAGACUUAUCGAUUCAAAAACCACACUUUCGGUUAGUUUCUUUAUCAGAAAGCAGGUUAGUUACCGGUACAAAAAGGGAACGCCUACGUCAAGCUUCUGAAUUUCAAGAAUCUCCACUCUGCCACUGGUCUCUCAUUCCGACUAUCCGAGUUAACUGCAAAAAGACCUGUUUCUUGAGGUUUUUCACAAUGAAAUCAAUCAUUCUGUCCACAUUUUUGCUAGCUGUUUCUCUGAUCAAAUUCGGCUACUCGAGAUCCCCAACAAGAAUACCACCGCUACUCACCUUGGACGAACCAUGUCUUUUUAUAGGUGAAGAGGCAAGGUGUUUUACUCCCAAUGCAUGGGCGUAUGAUCCCAGCAGCAACGAAUGUCGAACAGGAAACUGUGAAACGCCUCCAAGACUGAACCUUUACUACUCAUAUGAAAGGUGCGCUGAGAUGUGUAUCAACGAUGGGAUGAACGAAACUGUUUAUGUAGUCGAGGAGAUGAUCCAGCCCAACGACCACUGAGAUCUUUUGAUUUAGUUUAAAUAUUAAUGCGUGGACAACCUGAAAGCUGGUCUGAUAAUACUGUAAGUUA